This 107-nucleotide small nuclear RNA is filed under the name Sciurus vulgaris (Eurasian red squirrel). The record is from RNAcentral. Lineage: Eukaryota; Metazoa; Chordata; Mammalia; Rodentia; Sciuridae.
GUGCUUGCUUCACCAGCACAUAAACUAAAAUUGAAACGAAACAGAGAAGAUUAGCAUGGCCCCAGGGCAAGGAUGACAUGCAAAUGUUCCAUAUUUUCAUUUCAUUU